GUUCUCGUGGUGCAGUGGGCAGCACUGUUGCCUCACAGCAAAAAAUGGCCGUGGGUUUGAAUCCAGCCUGGAACC
Non-coding RNA from Gymnothorax javanicus (giant moray), 75 nucleotides. The record is from the annotation of a GenBank genome assembly. NCBI's taxonomy places the organism in Eukaryota, Metazoa, Chordata, Actinopteri, Anguilliformes, Muraenidae.